Molecule: small RNA, 49 nt
Filed under: Fusarium venenatum
Lineage: Eukaryota; Fungi; Ascomycota; Sordariomycetes; Hypocreales; Nectriaceae
Source: RNAcentral
GAAGAAGAUGAGGAAAAAGAUCAAAGUCUUGAGCUCAUGAUGGCUCAUG